This 271-nucleotide long non-coding RNA is filed under the name Gallus gallus (chicken). Lineage: Eukaryota; Metazoa; Chordata; Aves; Galliformes; Phasianidae. The record is from RNAcentral.
GGCUGGGCCACUCCAGAGCGUGGGUCAUUACCAAGUCGUACAAGAAGGGCGUGUUCUUUUUCCAUAUUUUAUACUCCUCGUUGAUCACGCGUUCUUCGACUGCGUCAUCAAAGGCUUCCUUGUCCGCCAUGGCGGGGAGGGGGAACGGGGCGGUGGAACGGGGCUGGGCUGCGCGAGGCGGGCGGCCGGUGCUCCGCUCUUCUCCGGCCACGGCUCUAUUGUUUCCUGCCCCCGCUGCGUGCCGCUCCGGCGCCGCGCACCCCUUCGCGCG